Non-coding RNA from Anas platyrhynchos (mallard), 170 nucleotides. The record is from RefSeq and is a predicted model, not a curated record. NCBI's taxonomy places the organism in Eukaryota, Metazoa, Chordata, Aves, Anseriformes, Anatidae.
ACCACACACCUCGUGCGAGCAGAGCAAAGUGGAGGAGGUGGUGCAGGAGGUGUUCGACGCCUACAAGACCAACCACCACGCGCGCAGGUCCCCGGGGCUGGAGCUGGCGGCGCUGCGACGCCCUGCCUGCCUGCAGAUUGGUGCUGCACGGGAGAAGCACUUCCACUACC